This is an RNA transcript of Paramacrobiotus metropolitanus, 2799 nucleotides long. RefSeq lists it as uncharacterized. NCBI's taxonomy places the organism in Eukaryota, Metazoa, Tardigrada, Eutardigrada, Parachela, Macrobiotidae. The record is from RefSeq and is a predicted model, not a curated record. The transcript has 6 exons.
UUUAUGCAUAUCUUACUGGACUGAAAUAAAUAUAGUUUAUUGUUUAACAUUAAUUUUAUGGAUCCAGAGAUGGCCGAAAGAAGAGGAAGCCAUCGCGCAUUAUACUGUAAUUUUAUAAUCUAACAACAGCCUGCUGCUACACUAUUUAUCCACGAAUUAUGCCAGUAUGAGGGAUGGCAAGUAAAUUUACAGUAGAAAAUUCACCGAUAUCAGUUCAUCAUUAGCGAUCUGAACGAGGGGAACACCAGCCAGUGAAGUGAGUCAAGUGGCUUGUGUUGCUCAACGAACGCAGAAUGGCGUUGCGUGCAUCCGCUACCCUGACGCGUCCUUCCCCCUCCGAAUUAUCGUUCUCGGCUAGUCCGCCCCGUGCAGGCGUCCCCUCAGGGCGGAUCUCCCGUUUAUCGGCCUUCUCCCCAAGCUACUCCGAUCACCAGUUCCUGGGCCCGGUUGCUGCAUCCCCCAGGAACGAUCCAUCCAGCGAAAUCUCACAGCGAGCCACGCCCACGCCCACGGUCGCACGCCCCACCUUAGCCCUGACGCGAAGGCAUCCGUUUCGACAAGACACUACGGAGGAUAAUGUAGACGCGGUCAUUCGACGUUUCCUCCGUGAUGAAGCCGAGCGAAAACGACUUGAUGUUCCUUCGGAUACGGACUUCGAGGAUGAAACGACAAUAACGCUGCCCCGACGCUUGCUGAACGCCACGGAGGCGGCUCAGCUUAUAGGAAAACUUGACGAGAUAUUUGCUUUGGAUGUGACCUUUGACGAGCUGCUAGAUAUUGUAUUGGCGCUCCUGGAAAUACCUAACCCUCCCGAUAGUUCUGAAGGGCUGCAAUGUUUACUGUGGGAUUAUCUGCGUGAAGAUGGAUGUGAUCAGUCUGUGAAUGGAGUGCCCUGAUUAUACUGUAAUUUGACGGCGUGCUCGGUACCCUCACCAGCACUCUUUCGGGACGGCCCCACGCAGCGGCUCUAGAUCGGUGAAGGAGCUAACAAACUCCGCGCUUAGCGCAACAGCCUCAUGGUCUCCUGGUGUACAUAAUGCGCCAGUAUGCCGGUCAGCGUCUGGUUGUUGCAAUUAUCAUGCCGGCACACACAGCGGAAUGUUAUCCAUGGAUGACUGUGGAAAAGUCCCUUUCGGAGGGCUGCCUUAUCACAGGCAAGCAGAUCACCGGGCGUCCGAUUCUCCCAUAACAUUUGUGUAUCUCGAUCCGACCGGGCGCAAUUCCGACCCAUCAGAAAAAAAGCAGGCCUAUGUCACAUGAGUACGCACUCUACGGACGCAGAACCACUUGGUUGUACUUGUGGAGAGAGAAUAAGUAAUAAUACUAUUCCUCAACUCAAAGACUAAAGACAAGUGCUGUGAAAAACACUGGGUACAAUUGACCUUCUGAUUUUUUAUCGACUUUUGUUUCCAUUUUUUCAGUACGGUACCGUACUCAUGCCUCUAUUGCAAGUUUUGAGUCUACGUAGAUCUGUACGUUCACAAAUUAUCGCAAAUAAUAAUCGCUGCCGAAUAAGGGAAUGUUAUUAUCCUCUACAUAUACCUUCUUCUACCUUACCUUUUUCAUCGGUAAUCAGGUUAAAGUCGGGUGCGAGGAAGAUUCCCAACAGGCAGAAUCCUGUCUCAUCGGGACACUGCAGUAGUUGCGUGCCGUUUCCGCGUCCCGGCAAUUUGCAGGUGUUUUGGGGGUCGCUAAAGAAACUGCACUGUUGACAGACGAGGCUUACGAUGAGUACAUUGGGUACCCAUUAUAAUCCGCAUUUUACCAGCUGACUCCACUUCUAUUAAGAAUGCACCAUCUUACCGUUCGUACGCCGGAUCAUGGCGCAGGUGGCGAUUAAUAUGGCGGAAGGGAAUCUCUUCGCAGGCUAUAGAUCCCCGGGGGGCCGAUUCGCCCAUAAAGCCUCGUUUUUCAUUUUUGAUCCCGUAUCCGUCCAGGCGCACCUGCGACCCAUCACGUGAUCUGUACGUAACGUGCCAACAGUUAAUUAAAGCGCCAUGUUACAAAUCCAGCAAAAAAACCCAAUUCUGUCCGCGCACGCGAAGCUCUUUCCUAAAUUAACUAAUAUUUCUGUACACUUCGUUUUGUGAGGUACCGUACGGUUAACAAUCCGGGACCAGUCUAUGUAUUUAAAAAGACAAGUUAAACGAUAUUCUGAGGAGUUUUAUGUCUUUUAUUUAAUUAUCCUUUUUGUGUUAUCUUAUAAUUUAUUUUAAAGGAUAUCUAAAGUGCCGAAAAUGUGUUUGCAAUUAAAAUAUAAGGUACCCAUUUAGCCGGAAAACUGGUCAGGCUCGGGUAUGAGGCCCAUCGCCACUUGGCAGAACUCCGUUUCACCGGAACACCCCCCAAACUUCGACAAGUAUGUAAAUGUUUUUCGGCAAGAAUUGCUGAAAUCUUUGGUAUAACUGCACUGGUGACAUUCUAGACCUGCGAUCGGUAAAUGCAUUAGCAAAUGUCAUCCCCAUUUUAGCAAUAGAUUCCCGCGUGCUAUGAAACAUUCUAAUCUCAUCGUUUGUACUCCUGAUCACGGCGCCGGUGGCGAAUAGUAUGACGAUAGGGCUACUCAACAUGGCGUGGGUGUAGAGUCUACGUAUACGGGAUUUCAGAACCACUCGUGGAAUACGAUUAUAAUUAUAUACUUGCUCGAAAUAUUUGAAAUAAAUUAUGCCGGUUGCUUUUUCCUUUGCUGAAAAAAAUUUAUUAGAAGCGCUUUAACCUUUCAAGGUUGCUCUUAAUCUUACGUGUCAUGGCAGCUGAAAUCUAUAUACGAGCAUGGUGCUCUUGUGGCAAAAUUUGACC